GGAAAGAUGAAAAGAACUUUGAAAAGAGAGUUAAACAGUACGUGAAAUUGUUGAAAGGGAAACGAUUGAAGCCAGUCGUACCUUCGGGUAAUCAGCCUUUCGGGUGCGAUUCUGUGGAGUGUGAGGAGCUUAACACCUUCAUGCUUUGCAUAUUUGUGCUCUUGGGUGUACUUGCCCGUGUGGUUGGUUAACAUCAAUUUUGAUUAUCAUAAAAUGACUGGAGGAAUGUAGCUUCGAUCUCGUAUUGAAGUGUUAUAGCCUUUGGUAGAUGUGAUGAUCGAGAUUGAGGAUUGCAACGGAUACCCUUCGGGGCUACCUGUCUGGUCUCUGAUCGUUGCUCUGGUGCCGAAAGCUUGCUUACGGUUAUCAAAGUCGAUGGUCAAUAGGUUAGAACGGGUUAAAUUCGUUAAGGAUGUUGACGUAAUGGCUUUAAACGACCCGUCUUGAAACACGGACCA
This 458-nucleotide ribosomal RNA is filed under the name Funneliformis mosseae. RNAcentral describes it as "LSU rRNA". It matches the Rfam family "Eukaryotic large subunit ribosomal RNA", at positions 358 to 668 of the family's 3401-position model. The record is from RNAcentral. Lineage: Eukaryota; Fungi; Glomeromycota; Glomeromycetes; Glomerales; Glomeraceae.